AUACGUAGGUGGCGAGCGUUGUCCGGAAUUACUGGGCGUAAAGGGUGCGUAGGCGGAUAUUUAAGUCAGAUGUGAAAUUCCCGGGCUCAACCUGGGAAGUGCAUUUGAUACUGGGUGUCUAGAGUGUGGAAGAGGUAAGUGGAAUUCCGAGUGUAGAGGUGAAAUUCGUAGAUAUUCGGAGGAACACCAGUGGCGAAGGCGGCUUACUGGUCCAUUACUGACGCUGAGGUGCGAAAGCGUGGGGAGC
This 247-nucleotide ribosomal RNA is filed under the name uncultured bacterium. Its description in RNAcentral is "partial 16S ribosomal RNA". It matches the Rfam family "Bacterial small subunit ribosomal RNA", at positions 523 to 769 of the family's 1533-position model. The record is from RNAcentral.